This 292-nucleotide ribosomal RNA is filed under the name uncultured bacterium. RNAcentral's name for it is "partial 16S ribosomal RNA". RNAcentral also lists the same sequence under 1 other name. The record is from RNAcentral.
GGACUACUGGGGUAUCUAAUCCUGUUUGCUCCCCACGCUUUCGCGCCUCAGCGUCAGUAUCGGGCCAGUGAGUCGCCUUCGCCACUGGUGUUCCGCCGAAUAUCUACGAAUUUCACCUCUACACUCGGCAUUCCACUCACCUCUCCCGAACUCAAGACAGCCAGUAUCAAAGGCAAUUCCAAGGUUGAGCCCUGGGCUUUCACCUCUGACUAAACUGUCCGCCUACGCGCCCUUUACGCCCAGUAAUUCCGAGCAACGCUAGCCCCCUUCGUAUUACCGCGGCUGCUGGCAC